CCUACGGGAUGCAGCAGUGGGGGAUAUUGCACAAUGGGGGGAACCCUGAUGUAGCGACGCCGCGUGGGUGAAGAAGCCCCUCGGCGCGUAAAGCCCUGUCAGCAGGGAAGAAAAUGACGGUACCUGAAGAAGACUCCACGGCUAACUCCGUGCAAGCAGCCGCGGUAAUACGUAGGGGGCAGGCGUUAUCCGGAUUUACUGGGUGUAAAGGGGGCGCAGACGGUGAGGCAAGCCAGGAGUGAAAGCCCGGGGCCCAACCUCGGGACUGCUCUUGGAACUGCGUGGCUGGAGUGUAGGAGCGGCAGGCGGAAUUCCUGGUGUAGCGGUGAAAUGCGUAGAUAUCAGGCGGAACACCGGUGGCGAAGGCGGCCUGCUGGACUGCAACUGACGUUGAGGCCCGAAAGCGUGGGGAGCAAACAGGAUUAGAUACCCUUGUAGUC
RNAcentral lists this ribosomal RNA (440 nucleotides) under uncultured bacterium. RNAcentral describes it as "partial 16S ribosomal RNA". It matches the Rfam family "Bacterial small subunit ribosomal RNA", at positions 338 to 795 of the family's 1533-position model. The record is from RNAcentral.